This 117-nucleotide ribosomal RNA is filed under the name Erysipelotrichaceae bacterium. Lineage: Bacteria; Bacillati; Bacillota; Erysipelotrichia; Erysipelotrichales; Erysipelotrichaceae. The record is from RNAcentral.
UCUGGUGAUUAUAGAGAGAGGGCCACACCUGUUCCCAUCCCGAACACAGAAGUUAAGCCUUUCAUCGCUGAUGGUACUUGGGGGGCAGCCCCCUGGGAGAGUAAGUCGUCGCCGGAU